GAGUUUUAUUGUGUGGACCUCCAGGCACAGGUAAAACACUGAUCGCCAGAGCAUUAGCUUGUGCUGCGUCAAAGGCUGGCCAGAAAGUCAGUUUUUAUAUGCGGAAGGGUGCUGAUGUCCUGAGCAAAUGGGUGGGCGAGGCUGAAAGACAGCUAAAAUUGUUAUUUGAAGAAGCUCAGAGGAACCAGCCUUCCAUCAUCUUCUUUGAUGAGAUUGAUGGACUUGCUCCUGUUAGGUCUAGCAAGCAAGAGCAGAUUCAUAACUCUAUUGUGUCAACUUUGCUGGCUUUGAUGGAUGGCCUUGACUCUCGAGGGCAAGUAGUCUUGAUUGGCGCAACCAAUCGGGUUGAUGCCAUUGAUGGAGCCUU
Molecule: unclassified non-coding RNA, 367 nt
Filed under: Hevea brasiliensis (rubber tree)
Lineage: Eukaryota; Viridiplantae; Streptophyta; Magnoliopsida; Malpighiales; Euphorbiaceae
Source: RNAcentral